Molecule: ribosomal RNA, 497 nt
Filed under: uncultured bacterium
Lineage: Bacteria
Description: partial 16S ribosomal RNA
Rfam family: Bacterial small subunit ribosomal RNA
Source: RNAcentral
GACGAACGCUGGCGGCGUGCCUAAUACAUGCAAGUUGAGCGCUGAAGGUUGGUACUUGUACCAACUGGAUGAGCAGCGAACGGGUGAGUAACGCGUGGGGAAUCUGCCUUUGAGCGGGGGACAACAUUUGGAAACGAAUGCUAAUACCGCAUAAAAACUUUAAACACAAGUUUUAAGUUUGAAAGAUGCAAUUGCAUCACUCAAAGAUGAUCCCGCGUUGUAUUAGCUAGUUGGUGAGGUAAAGGCUCACCAAGGCGAUGAUACAUAGCCGACCUGAGAGGGUGAUCGGCCCCAUUGGGACUGAGACACGGCCCAAACUCCUACGGGAGGCAGCAGUAGGGAAUCUUCGGCAAUGGACGAAAGUCUGACCGAGCAACGCCGCGUGAGUGAAGAAGGUUUUCGGAUCGUGAAACUCUGUUGGUAGAGAAGAACGUUGGUGAGAGUGGAAAGCUCAUCAAGUGACGGUAACUACCCAGAAAGGGACGGCUAACUACGUG